UGGGGAAUUUUGGACAAUGGGGGCAACCCUGAUCCAGCCAUUCCGCGUGAGUGAAGAAGGCCUUCGGGUUGUAAAGCUCUUUCAGCAGGAACGAAACGGUCGGCUUUAAUAAAGUCGGCUAAUGACGGUACCUGCAGAAGAAGCACCGGCUAACUACGUGCCAGCAGCCGCGGUAAUACAUGUGGGGCAAGCGUUGUUCGGAAUUACUGGGCAUAAAGGGUGCGUAGGCGGUUUGUUAAGUCACUGGUGAAAGUUUGCGGCCCAACCGUAAAAUUGCCUGUGAUACUGGCGAACUUGAGUGCGUGAGGGGUAGGGGGAACGAGCAGUGUAGCGGUGAAAUGCGUAGAUAUUGCUCGGAAGGCCGGAGCCGAAGGGGCCCUACUGGUACGUAACUGACGCUGAGGCACGAAAGCGUGGGGAGCAAACAGGAUUAGAUACCCCCGUAGUCCCUGAGCGGGCUGGCAAGGCGCAU
Molecule: ribosomal RNA, 472 nt
Filed under: uncultured bacterium
Lineage: Bacteria
Description: bacterial SSU rRNA
Rfam family: Bacterial small subunit ribosomal RNA
Source: RNAcentral